This 57-nucleotide ribosomal RNA is filed under the name Trichocentrum pfavii. RNAcentral's name for it is "partial 26S ribosomal RNA". Lineage: Eukaryota; Viridiplantae; Streptophyta; Magnoliopsida; Asparagales; Orchidaceae. The record is from RNAcentral.
GCGACCCCAGGAUGGGUGAGGCCACCCGCUGAGUUUAAGCAUAUCAAUAAGCGGAGG